GACCUUAUAUUCAAUUAUGAUUUUAGACUGCAAUUCUAAAGGUGUAAAUAUUUACUAAGGCCU
RNAcentral lists this transfer RNA (63 nucleotides) under Coscineuta sp. OR249. RNAcentral's name for it is "tRNA-Cys". Lineage: Eukaryota; Metazoa; Arthropoda; Insecta; Orthoptera; Acrididae. The record is from RNAcentral.